AUUUUUUUGAGGGCCUCAUGUGACAGAUUUGCACAUUGCUUUUCUACAGGUAUGCUCAGUAUGGUGAUGUCUCUCCUAAAGUUGAUGUCUACGCUUUUGGUGUUGUCCUAUAUGAACUAAUUUCAGCCAAGGAAGCGAUAGUCAAACCAAAUGGUUCUGUUACUGAAUCAAAGGGUCUUGUUGCUUUGUUUGAAGAAGUACUUAAUCAGCCAGAUCCUGAUGAAGACCUUCGAAAGCUGGUUGACCCAAGACUUGGAGACGACUAUCCCCUUGAUUCAGUCCGGAAGAUGGCACAGCUCGCCAAAGCUUGCACCCAGGAAAAUCCCCUAAUAAGACCAAGUAUGAGAUCAAUAGUGGUUGCACUGAUGACCCUCUCUUCGUCGACAGAAGAUUGGGAUGUUGGAUCUUUCUAUAAAAAUGAAGGUCUGAUAAAUCUUAUGUCUGGAAGGUAGUAAACCAAGAUCUUGCUUCCACACGCAAUUAAUAUCUCAUCUAGAUCCUUGCUUGCGAACGAGACCGAGACCAUGUUGUUUAAGCAUUGGAUCAGUGUACUUACUACUUGUGCAGUGUGACUUGUAUAGUACUUGCUUGAAUAGUGUACGAAAGCAUAGAAAGAGGUCUUGAUUUGUAACAGUUAGGACAAAGUAACAUUCUUUGUGAGUUAGAUAUGGAACAUUUCCUCAUGGCAAAAUACAUUUUUUUCUUUGUUGUCUGCUGCUGUGACGAGCAAUGUUUAUUGUUGUCCCACAUUGUAGAUCAAUUCAGUCACACAUGUCUGAAAAAUGCAGAAUUACUUCUUCAUAUGUUUGUUUCUUAUGGCUGUUACGCAAGAAAUCUAGUUCUCUUCAUAUUU
Lycium ferocissimum is the source of this 853-nucleotide long non-coding RNA. RefSeq lists it as uncharacterized. The record is from RefSeq and is a predicted model, not a curated record. The transcript has 3 exons. NCBI's taxonomy places the organism in Eukaryota, Viridiplantae, Streptophyta, Magnoliopsida, Solanales, Solanaceae.